ACGAACGCUGGCGGCGUGCUUAACACAUGCAAGUCGAACGGAAAGGCCCUGCUUUUGUGGGGUGCUCGAGUGGCGAACGGGUGAGUAACACGUGAGUAACCUGCCCUUGACUUUGGGAUAACUUCAGGAAACUGGGGCUAAUACCGGAUAGGAGCUCCUGCUGCAUGGUGGGGGUUGGAAAGUUUCGGCGGUUGGGGAUGGACUCGCGGCUUAUCAGCUUGUUGGUGGGGUAGUGGCUUACCAAGGCUUUGACGGGUAGCCGGCCUGAGAGGGUGACCGGCCACAUUGGGACUGAGAUACGGCCCAGACUCCUACGGGAGGCAGCAGAGGGGAAUAUUGCACAAUGGGCGGAAGCCUGAUGCAGCAACGCCGCGUGCGGGAUGACGGCCUUCGGGUUGUAAACCGCUUUCGCCUGUGACGAAGCGUGAGUGACGGUAAUGGGUAAAGAAGCACCGGCUAACUACGUG
Molecule: ribosomal RNA, 467 nt
Filed under: uncultured bacterium
Lineage: Bacteria
Description: partial 16S ribosomal RNA
Rfam family: Bacterial small subunit ribosomal RNA
Source: RNAcentral